Molecule: RNA transcript, 2252 nt
Organism: Empidonax traillii (willow flycatcher)
Lineage: Eukaryota; Metazoa; Chordata; Aves; Passeriformes; Tyrannidae
Gene: SLC25A27
Gene name: solute carrier family 25 member 27
Exons: 9
Source: RefSeq, a predicted model, not a curated record
AAACAUGACCUUCAGCAACUUGUCUCCUAAACGACCCAGAACUGAGCUGUGCUAGGGUCUGCUCUCGCUCCAGACAGACCCUGGCAGGGUGGUUGGUGAGCCUCGGUUCAUGUGAGAUGCUAGAUGUCACCUGCAGAAGAAGAGAAGAGCUUACCUCUUCCACAGAGAUGGCCCCGGGCCAGCAAAUUCGCUCUGUCAGCCUGCGCAGCGGCUGUGGCAGAACUAGUGACAUUUCCUCUGGAUCUCACGAAAACUCGGCUGCAGAUCCAAGGUGAGGCUGCCGUCCGUCGGGAUGGAGCUGCGGCCGGCCAGGCAGCCCCGUACCGCGGGAUGCUGCGCACGGCAGCAGGAAUCGUGCAGGAGGAGGGAUUAGGGAAGCUCUGGCAAGGCGCCACGCCAGCCGUCUACCGCCAUAUAGUGUACUCUGGAGUUCGGAUGGUUGCCUAUGAACAUCUCCGUGACUCUGUGCUUUGCAGGGCUGAGGAUAAAACCUUUCCUCUCUGGAAAGCUGUGGUUGGAGGCAUGUCUGCAGGUGCCAUCGGACAGUUUUUUGCCAGCCCAACUGAUCUGGUGAAGGUGCAGAUGCAGAUGGAGGGAAAGAGGAAGUUGGAAGGAAAGCCGUUACGGUUUCGGGGUGUGCACCAUGCAUUUCUGAAGAUCCUGUCCGAAGGAGGAAUACGGGGGCUUUGGGCUGGAUGGGUGCCAAAUGUUCAGAGGGCUGCUCUGGUGAACAUGGGAGAUCUGACCACUUAUGACACAGUGAAACACUUCUUGCUUCUGAACACACCACUUGUGGACAAUAGUGUGACUCACAGUGUUUCCAGUAUCUGUUGCUGUUGGCAGUGUCUGUUCUGGCCUGGUAGCGGCUGUUCUGGGAACUCCUGCCGACGUGGUCAAAACCCGGAUAAUGAACCAGCCGAGAGACAAGCAGGGAAGAGGUCUGCUCUAUAAGUCGUCCAUGGACUGCUUGAUUCAAACUGUCCAGGGUGAAGGGUUUAUGUCUCUAUACAAAGGCUUUAUACCAACCUGGAUGCGAAUGGCUCCUUGGUCACUGGUAUUCUGGCUUACAUAUGAACAAAUCAGAAGGAUCUGCGGAGUUAGUUCUUUUUAAAAUCUUCAAUAUUGACAAAACACAGAAGAAUAAAAAAGCUGAAUUCUCAUUCCACGUGGCAGUAGGAUCACGUGUAUAAGUUGCUUCUCCAAAUCCAGUCUUUGCUGGUUAGGAACAGGCAUGACUUAAGGACACUAUUUGAUUGUCAGACUGCUACAUGAAAUUUAUAUUAUCUAAAAUCAUCAUAAUAAUAUUACAGCUAGCAGCCAGCAUCAGCUUACUGAAACAGUAAAAAGGGUAAAAGAAAAAGUCUACCAAGCAAAUAGAAUAUAAGAAUGUCUGCUUGUUUGACAGUAGAGAUGGUUCCUAUUGUUAAGGACAAGAGCAGGUUGAAAACAUAGCACUGAACAACUGAACAUCUUCUGUGGCUAAAUUAUAAAUUAUAAAAUUAUUUGGGCAUUUUUGUUAUUAAUUGCAUUUGCACACACAUAAAGAACUACCUCUCGUUAGUGUGAUGCCUCAGUAAACCAAGCCUGUAGUGCUAGGUAUUGAAAAAGAUAAAAGCAGUUUACCUGAUUCCAAAUUUGCUUUCCACAAAAAGUGGAAGGGUUUGUGUUCCUCUCACUUCCCAGAGACUGCCCGACCUCUCUACUCAACCAUGAGUGGAUCCAUGAUUGAAAUGCAGUCCUGUUCUCAAGAAAUCAAAAGCCUAGUUCACUCUGCCCCUCUUGAAGGACUCAUGAUACUUCCAGCUGAACUACUUGUCCCAUGACAGUCCUGGUGCUGAUGUGGCACACUGGGUUGUUAAGGUACCACUUUUCCAUGGAAAUAUGCACUCUGCCCACUUUAGAUCUUGUUGGAAAUAUAACAUCCUCUUUAAAGCACAAAACGUUUGAACAGGAGUGAUUUAUUUAUUUUUAAACCUAAUGCCUUCCAGAUUUCAUAGGGAAGGAGAUUAGUGCUGUUUGUCAGUAGAUUCAUCCUUGGCAACGAAGAGGCAAAAAUGCAAUAUUAAAAGUCACUAUUUGUAGAUAGAACAAAGCUGGCUUUGAUUUAGUGAUAUCUAAUAAUGAAAUGACUGUACAAGACUUGGCUCUCUGAGUAAAUACUCAUGAUUUCUUCUAGAAAAUAGUGUAGCCAGUGACUUCAAUAUGCCAAUUUCUCAUUAAAUAAAGUUUGGGCAUCUUUUGGCUUGCACUUA